Molecule: long non-coding RNA, 1436 nt
Filed under: Junco hyemalis (dark-eyed junco)
Lineage: Eukaryota; Metazoa; Chordata; Aves; Passeriformes; Passerellidae
Description: lncRNA (ENSJHYG00000001820.1)
Source: RNAcentral
UUAAACCACGUCCCCUUCGCGUUAAACCAUGCCCCUUUCUCUCUAAACCCCGCCCACUCUGCGUAAACCACGCCCCCUUUCCCCUCAGGUAACCUCACCCUGUGGCGGGAGCUGCGGGGCUGCGUCCCCGAUGGCGGCUGCGCCCCCGAGCGCCGCGGCGACGCCGACGCCUCAUUGGCCGGCUCCUGUUGCCGCGGCGACCUCUGCAACGACAAGAUGGCCGACAGGAGUUUGUUCUCGCCCGAUCUGCCCCGGCUGGAGCUGCUGCCGCACGGCCACGCCCCCACGGCCACGCCCAAUAACGCCACGGAGGAUGGGGGCGGGAAAAAUGGCACCCGCGGCAAGAUGGCUGCCGCUGAUGGUGGCAAUAUGGCCGCCGGUGAUGAUGUGGGCAAUAGUGAUGGGAAAAUGGCGGCGCCUGAGCGUGAUGUGGGCACCAGUGGGAAGAGGGCUGCUGGGGGCAAGAUGGCCGCCGGGGGCAAGAUGGCUGACGGGGACAAAAUGGCUGACGGGGGCAGGAUGGUCACCAGGGGCAAGAUGGCUGCUGGGGACAAGAUGGCUGCUGGGGAGGGCAAGGUGGCUGAUGGGGACAAGAUGGCUGACGGAAACAAGAUGGCUGACGGAGACAAGAUGGCUGACGGAGACAAAAUGGCUGACGGAAACAAGAUGGCUGAUGAAAACAAGAUGGCUGACGGAGACAAAAUGGCGGACGGAGACAAAAUGGCUGACGGAGACAAUAUGGCCGCCGGUCACGUGGCCCCCAGGCGGCCAAUGGGGCGCAAGGACGGGAUCAAGGGCCCGGUGGGGCGGGGCCAAUCGCUGGGCGGGCCCGGGUGGCUCCUCCCCUUCGUGCUGCUGCCCCUCCUCCGCUGAGGGCGGGGCUUGUGCUGCAAUAAAUGGGUGUGGCUUGAGCAGCGGUGCCGGAGUCGUUUUUUGGGGAGAAAAUUGGGAUUUUUGAGGAAAGUUUGCUGAUUAAAAAUGGAUAAUUUUGGGGUUAAAUAUGUGAUGGGUUUUGAAUUUUUUCCUUGUUUUUGUUUUGCUUUUUGUUAUUUUAUAAAUGAUUUUUCAUAAUAUUUUUCCAUUAUUAUUAUAAUUAUACUAUUAAUAAUUAUUAUAUUAUUAUUCAUAGUAAUAAUAAUAAUAAUAAUAUUAAUAUUAUUAUUAUUAAUAUCCCCUAAAGUCAUAAUUGCCAAUAUAAUUACCUACUAUUAAUAUAUUUAAAUAAUACUAAUUUUUAUUCACUUUAAUCAGUGAUUAUAAUUGAGGGUAAUAUUAUUAUUAUUUUUAUUAUUAUUACUACUACUACUACUAUUAUUAGCAUUCUUUUACCCUCAAGUUAUGAUUACUAAUAUAAUUUAAUUUUAUUAUUAUAAAUAUUAUAAUUAUAAUUAUAUUCUCAUAAUAAUUACAUAAUAAUAAAUAAUAUUAUUAUUUCA